CUGCUGCCUCCCGUAGGAGUCUGGGCCGUGUCUCAGUCCCAAUGUGGCCGUCCACCCUCUCAGGCCGGCUACUGAUCGUCGCCUUGGUGGGCCUUUACCCCGCCAACCAGCUAAUCAGACGCGGGUCCAUCUUGCACCACCGGAGUUUUUCACACUGUCCCAUGCAGGACCGUGCGCUUAUGCGGUAUUAGCACCUAUUUCUAAGUGUUAUCCCCCAGUGCAAGGCAGGUUACCCACGCGUUACUCACCCGUCCG
Molecule: ribosomal RNA, 255 nt
Filed under: uncultured bacterium
Lineage: Bacteria
Description: partial 16S ribosomal RNA
Source: RNAcentral